This 108-nucleotide transfer RNA is filed under the name Colletotrichum cereale. RNAcentral describes it as "tRNA-Met". It matches the Rfam family "tRNA". Rfam says of the family: Transfer RNA (tRNA) molecules are approximately 80 nucleotides in length. Lineage: Eukaryota; Fungi; Ascomycota; Sordariomycetes; Glomerellales; Glomerellaceae. The record is from RNAcentral.
GUCUCUAUGGCUCAGUCGGUAGAGCGUUGGUCUCAUAUCACUCUCAAUAUGACCCUGCCAUGAGGUCGGGACAUCCAAAGGUCGCAAGUUCGAGCCUUGCUAGGGACA